RNAcentral lists this unclassified non-coding RNA (335 nucleotides) under Hevea brasiliensis (rubber tree). The record is from RNAcentral. Lineage: Eukaryota; Viridiplantae; Streptophyta; Magnoliopsida; Malpighiales; Euphorbiaceae.
GGAAGCUAAAGGUGCUGUGCGUGAACUACGCAAGGACAAUGAGUUCUUGUCCAAGGCAAAGGAAAGGGAAAGAGCCUUACUUGCCGCGGAAAAGGCUGAGAAGUAUGGUAAAGAUCUGGCUUUUCUUCAAGAACAAGAACACGCGUUUAAAUCGGGGCAAUUGGGAAAGGGAAAGGGACAGAAGAGAAGAAGAUGAAAUUAGCUUUUGGUUGUUAUAUGAAAAUCUCAUAUUCAAAAGCUUCUUCCCACUGAAUUCCAGAGUCAAAAUCAUGUAUUGGAAUCCCCCAUCCCCAAACACACACUCAAACACACACACAAAAAAAACUAUAUGUAUU